This 254-nucleotide ribosomal RNA is filed under the name uncultured bacterium. RNAcentral describes it as "partial 16S ribosomal RNA". It matches the Rfam family "Bacterial small subunit ribosomal RNA", at positions 524 to 776 of the family's 1533-position model. The record is from RNAcentral.
UACGGGGGGAGCAAGCGUUGUUCGGAUUUACUGGGCGUAAAGGGCGCGUAGGCGGUCAGCACAAGUCAGUUGUGAAAUCUCCGGGCUUAACCCGGAAAGGUCAACUGAUACUGUGCGGCUAGAGUGCAGAAGGGGCAACUGGAAUUCUUGGUGUAGCGGUGAAAUGCGUAGAUAUCAAGAGGAACACCUGCGGCGAAGGCGGGUUGCUGGGCCGACACUGACGCUGAGGCGCGAAAGCCAGGGGAGCGAACGGG